RNAcentral lists this ribosomal RNA (464 nucleotides) under uncultured bacterium. RNAcentral's name for it is "bacterial SSU rRNA". It matches the Rfam family "Bacterial small subunit ribosomal RNA", at positions 30 to 484 of the family's 1533-position model. The record is from RNAcentral.
AUUGAACGCUGGCGGCAGGCCUAACACAUGCAAGUCGAGCGGUAGAGAGGUGCUUGCAUCUCUUGAGAGCGGCGGACGGGUGAGUAAUGCCUAGGAAUCUGCCUAGUGGUGGGGGAUAACGUUCGGAAACGGACGCUAAUACCGCAUACGUCCUACGGGAGAAAGCGGGGGAUCUUCGGACCUCGCGCCAUUAGAUGAGCCUAGGUCGGAUUAGCUAGUUGGUGAGGUAAUGGCUCACCAAGGCGACGAUCCGUAACUGGUCUGAGAGGAUGAUCAGUCACACUGGAACUGAGACACGGUCCAGACUCCUACGGGAGGCAGCAGUGGGGAAUAUUGGACAAUGGGCGAAAGACCUGAUCCAGCCAUGCCGCGUGUGUGAAGAAGGUCUUUCGGAUUGUAAAGCACUUUAAGUUGGGAGGAAGGGUAGGUAACCUAAUACGUUGCUACUUUGACGUUACCGACAG